ACCUCUGCCCUUUCAGGCUCCAUCCCUUGUUGCCCUUGUCCCUUCCUCUGUCUUCUUCUUCCCCUAAACGACGGACGAUCGGUUCCCCAUUUCGCUCCCAUCGAUCCCUCCUUCUCCUUCCUCCGCCUCCGCGGGCACGACGCAAGGCCGCCUCGCGCCGCCCCUGGUCGAGGAUCGAUCUCCCCUUCCCCUCCUCGGCUCCCGUCUCCUUCGCCCGCUUGCCGGCAGCGCCGGUCUCCGUCCCGCGAGCUGCGGUGGUGCCGCCGUCUCUGUCCCUGCUGCUGCUGCUGCUUCCGCCGCCGAUCUGGAAGCUUGUAGCAGUUUAUGUGUUCCCCAGAAAGUUUGGGGGUUCAACUGACCCCUUGCCUGAAGGGAGGGAGUAUUUGAUUCUUGAAGAAGAGAGAGAGAGAGAGAGAGAGUAUUUGAUUCUUGAAUUCUACUAGUUUGGAAGGAGGGGAGCUGCGUUAUUAUUAUUAUUAUUAUUAUUAUUAUUAUUAUUAUUAUUAUUAUUAUUAUUAUUAUUAUUAUUAUUAUUUUUGGUUCGUUUGUUUCAUGGAGUCGAAGGAAGUGCAUGGCCGGGAUGUGCUGGUUGAUCUGGAGAAAGGGAAUUGCUUGCUAAUGAGAGAGGGGGGCGAUAAUGGGACGGAUGUGAAUAUGAUAUCUAGCCAGGCGAAAACUCCAUGGAAUGAUCUUAUAGCUAUGAAGGAUGAUCACCACAUUCCUUGCUGCUCGUCACGCUCUCAAGAUUUCGCCGUGAAAAGCGGAGAAGAUAGGACGUCCGAUGGCGAGAUGAAGGUUGGGCUUUUGGAUAAGUCGAUGGGGGAGAAGGAGAAGAAGAAGCGGUCGAAAAAGCCACCACGACCGCCGCGACCACCUUCUGCUUCACCAUUAGAUGCUGCUGACCAGAAGCUCAUUAGUGAACUAUCUGAGCUCGCAAGUUUAAAAAGGGCAAGGAUUGAACGGAUGAAGGCUUUGAAGAAGAUGAAGAACACCAAACCAGCUUCCUCAAUUGGCAACCUGGUAGCUUUGAUUAUUACCAUUAUCUUCUGCCUCGUCAUACUUUGGCAAGAUGGGAUGUAGGAUAUGUCAGGUUCCACUCCUUUGCUUGUCUUGUAGACCAUACCUUCACAUGUAUACAGAUGUAGUGAGUAAAUGCAUGGUUGUUAGUCUUUCCUAUUUGGUGGUCUAACUUCAACCAUCUGUGAUUUACUAUUUCUCAAUCAACAGGCUUGCCGAUGAAAUGAAUUCACUGGGUUUUCUCAAAGUAUGGGGCGGGCAUUAUCUUUCAUGGAUCACCUAUAUCAUCAGGCCGAUCACAUGGCAGCCUGUUCUCCAUCCAGUUCUACAAGAAGAAUGAGACGGCUACCAGCCCUCGGAGUUCUUCUUCAGCUCCAAACAACACGGGAAUAACAACGAGAUUGGAGAUCCAUGGUGAAGCUAGGGGGGUUACAGAAUGAGUGCCGUAGCUGCCAUCACUGCCUUGGCCUUUUGGUGUCAUCCUGCUGUAAAUUAUGUUGAGUUGUUGUGGUCGUGGUCUUUUAGCACUCCAUAGAUUCCAAACUACAAGUGUUUACUAAUUGGCAUUGCUGCUCUGUGCUCUGAGUCAGCUUCUGUUAUGACAAUACUAAUUAAUCUGACUGAUAUAAUGAUAUUCAUGAUACUUAUUCUUUCUUAA
Molecule: RNA transcript, 1675 nt
Organism: Oryza sativa Japonica Group (Japanese rice)
Lineage: Eukaryota; Viridiplantae; Streptophyta; Magnoliopsida; Poales; Poaceae
Source: RefSeq, a predicted model, not a curated record